This 501-nucleotide ribosomal RNA is filed under the name uncultured bacterium. Its description in RNAcentral is "partial 16S ribosomal RNA". It matches the Rfam family "Bacterial small subunit ribosomal RNA", at positions 29 to 523 of the family's 1533-position model. The record is from RNAcentral.
AUUGAACGCUGGCGGCAUGCCUUACACAUGCAAGUCGAACGGCAGCACGGGUGCUUGCACCUGGUGGCGAGUGGCGAACGGGUGAGUAAUACAUCGGAACGUACCUUAUCGUGGGGGAUAACGCAGCGAAAGCUGUGCUAAUACCGCAUACGCCCUGAGGGGGAAAGCGGGGGAUCGAAAGACCUCGCGCGAUUAGAGCGGCCGAUGCCUGAUUAGCUUGUUGGUGGGGUAAAAGCCCACCAAGGCGACGAUCAGUAGCUGGUCUGAGAGGACGCUCAGCCACACUGGGACUGAGACACGGCCCAGACUCCUACGGGAGGCAGCAGUGGGGAAUUUUGGACAAUGGGGGCAACCCUGAUCCAGCAAUGCCGCGUGAAUGAAGAAGGCCUUCGGGUUGUAAAGCUCUUUUGUCAGGGAAGAAACACCGGCUCUAACACAGUCCGGGAAUGACGGUACCUGAAGAAUAAGCACCGGCUAACUACGUGCCAGCCGCCGCGGUAA